CAUUCUAGAUACAUUGGAGAAUCUUUCACAACUAUCCUUACUUGAUGGAAAUGAUUUAUCUGGUUCUAUACCAGAAACAUUAGGACUAGUUCAGACACUUGAGAUUCUCCGGCUUGAUAGAAAUUCCCUGACAGGAGAGGUUCCUACAAAUCUUUGUAAGAGAUGAGUUUGGAUAAUGAAGUUGGAGUGUUGGAGCAAGAAACAAAGAUGUUGGAGCAAG
Molecule: non-coding RNA, 220 nt
Organism: Arachis ipaensis
Lineage: Eukaryota; Viridiplantae; Streptophyta; Magnoliopsida; Fabales; Fabaceae
Source: RefSeq, a predicted model, not a curated record